ACCCGCUGAACUUAAGCAUAUCAAUAAGCGGAGGAAAAGAAACCAACAGGGAUUGCCCUAGUAACGGCGAGUGAAGCGGCAACAGCUCAAAUUUGAAAUCUGGCGCAAGCCCGAGUUGUAAUUUGUAGAGGAUGCUUCUAGGUAGCGACCGGUCUAAGUUCCUUGGAACAGGACGUCAUAGAGGGUGAGAAUCCCGUAUGUGACUGGCCCGCACCUUCUACGUAGCUCCUUCGACGAGUCGAGUUGUUUGGGAAUGCAGCUCUAAAUGGGAGGUAAAUUUCUUCGAAAGCUAAAUACCGGCCAGAGACCGAUAGCGCACAAGUAGAGUGAUCGAAAGAUGAAAAGCACUUUGGAAAGAGAGUUAAAAGGCACGUGAAAUUGUUGAAAGGGAAGCGCUCACAACCAGACUUCUAGGCAGUGUUCCGCCGGUCUUUUGACCGGUCUACUCUCUGUCUCGAGGCCAACAUCAUCUGGGACCGCCGGAUAAGACCUUAGGAAUGUAGCUCCCCUCGGGGAGUGUUAUAGCCUCUGGUGAUGCGGCGCGUCUCGGGUGAGGUCCGCGCUUCGGCAAGGAUGUUGGCGUAAUGGUUGUCAGCGGCCCGUCUUGAAACACGGACCAAGGAGUCUAACAUCUAUGCGAGUGUUCGGGUGUCAAACCCCUACGCGUAAUGAAAGUGAACGGAGGUGGGAAGCGUAAGCUGCACCAUCGACCGAUCCUGAUGUCCUCGGAUGGAUUUGAGUAAGAGCAUAGCUGUUGGGACCCGAAAGAUGGUGAACUAUGCCUGAAUAGGGUGAAGCCAGAGGAAACUCUGGUGGAGGCUCGCAGCGGUUCUGACGUGCAAAUCGAUCGUCAAAUUUGGGUAUAGGGGCGAAAGACUAAUCGAACCAUCUAGUAGCUGGUUCCUGCCGAAGUUUCCCUCA
RNAcentral lists this ribosomal RNA (921 nucleotides) under Ramularia endophylla. Its description in RNAcentral is "LSU rRNA". It matches the Rfam family "Eukaryotic large subunit ribosomal RNA", at positions 23 to 975 of the family's 3401-position model. Lineage: Eukaryota; Fungi; Ascomycota; Dothideomycetes; Mycosphaerellales; Mycosphaerellaceae. The record is from RNAcentral.